Molecule: ribosomal RNA, 332 nt
Filed under: Triticum aestivum (bread wheat)
Lineage: Eukaryota; Viridiplantae; Streptophyta; Magnoliopsida; Poales; Poaceae
Description: rRNA SSU_rRNA_eukarya
Source: RNAcentral
CCUAGUUGGUGGAGCGAUUUGUCUGGUUAAUUCCGUUAACGAACGAGACCUCAGCCUGCUAUGGGUGGUGGUGCAACAGUCUGGCCAAAGGAUAUAAUCCGGCUGUCCGGAUACCCCUAAUCCAGGACUCCCUCAAUACCCCUCUGAUUAUGAACAUGAAUAUGCUUUGUGAGUAGUUAUGUUUGUUACUGAGGACAUGGGAGACGUCUUUCUAUUAGUAGUCAUGUGAAUUUGGUAUUCGUUCGAUAUUUUGAUGAGAUGUAUGUGGUCUCUCCUCUAGUGGUGUUAUGUGAACGUCGACUACAUGACACUUCACCAUUAUUUGGGCCUAG